RNAcentral lists this ribosomal RNA (388 nucleotides) under uncultured bacterium. Its description in RNAcentral is "bacterial SSU rRNA". It matches the Rfam family "Bacterial small subunit ribosomal RNA", at positions 28 to 415 of the family's 1533-position model. The record is from RNAcentral.
GACGAACGCUGGCGGCGUGCUUAACACAUGCAAGUCGAGCGGUAAGGCCCUUUCGGGGGUACGACGAGCGGCGAACGGGUGAGUAACACGUGGGUGACCUGCCCUCAGCUCUGGGAUAAGCCUGGGAAACCGGGGUCUAAUACUGGAUAUGACUCCAUGACGCAUGUUGUGGGGUGGAAAGCCUUGUGCGGCUGAGGAUGGGCCCGCGGCCUAUCAGCUUGUUGGUGGGGUGAUGGCCUACCAAAGCGACGACGGGUAGCCGGCCUGAGAGGGCGACCGGCCACACUGGGACUGAGACACGGCCCAGACUCCUACGGGAGGCAGCAGUGGGGAAUCUUGCGCAAUGGGCGAAAGCCUGACGCAGCGACGCCGCGUGAGGGAUGACGGG